RNAcentral lists this transfer RNA (64 nucleotides) under Pachybrachis terminalis. Its description in RNAcentral is "tRNA-Tyr". Lineage: Eukaryota; Metazoa; Arthropoda; Insecta; Coleoptera; Chrysomelidae. The record is from RNAcentral.
GGUGAGAUGGCUGAGUUUAGGCUAUAAAUUGUAAAUUUAUGAACGGAAUAAUUUCCUCUCACCA